GAGGAAAAGAAACCAACAGGGAUUGCCUCAGUAACGGCGAGUGAAGCGGCAAAAGCUCAAAUUUGAAAUCUAGCACCUUCGGUGUUCGAGUUGUAAUUUGAAGAUGGUAACCUUGGGUUUGGCUCUUGUCUAUGUUCCUUGGAACAGGACGUCAUAGAGGGUGAGAAUCCCGUCUGAUGAGAUGCCCAUUCCUAUGUAAGGUGCUAUCGAAGAGUCGAGUUGUUUGGGAAUGCAGCUCUAAGUGGGUGGUAAAUUCCAUCUAAAGCUAAAUAUUGGCGAGAGACCGAUAGCGAACAAGUACAGUGAUGGAAAGAUGAAAAGAACUUUGAAAAGAGAGUGAAAAAGUACGUGAAAUUGUUGAAAGGGAAGGGCAUUAGAUCAGACUUGGUGUUUUACGAUUAUCUUCUCUUCUUGAGUUGUGCACUCGUAUUUCACUGGGCCAGCAUCGAUUCGGAUGGCAAGAUAAUGGCAGUUGAAUGUGGCUUCACUUCGGUGGAGUGUUAUAGCUUCUGCUGAUAUUGCCUGUCUGGAUCGAGGGCUGCGUCUUUUGACUAGGAUGCUGGCGUAAUGAUCUAAUGCCGCCCG
RNAcentral lists this ribosomal RNA (585 nucleotides) under Hansenula anomala. Its description in RNAcentral is "eukaryotic LSU rRNA". It matches the Rfam family "Eukaryotic large subunit ribosomal RNA", at positions 53 to 651 of the family's 3401-position model. Lineage: Eukaryota; Fungi; Ascomycota; Saccharomycetes; Phaffomycetales; Wickerhamomycetaceae. The record is from RNAcentral.